GUAAAUUAUAAACAUCUAAAUGACAUGUAUGAUACAUGAUAACCAUACAUAAUGACUACUGGUUAUUGCUAAUGGAUUUCACAUAGUGGUAACCACAAUUGGUCACCAUAUAGAAGGGGGUGUUUGAACACUCUCAACAUGGAGCAGAUAGACAACAAGGGAGAGGAAGAAAUCAAAGAGCUCAUGGACACGGGGCCCCUCAGAGAGGUGGGCAUGGACCCCAACAAAGAGGUGGGCAUGGGCCCCGACAAAGAGGUGGGCAUGGACCCUGACAAAGAGGUGGGCAUGGACCCUGACAAAGAGGUGGGCAUGGACCCUGACAAAGAGGUGGGCAUGGGCCCCGACAAAGAGGUGGGCAUGGGCCCCGUUAGAGGUUUACAUCAGAGAGAGGGAGGCAGACGGCAGGGAACUGUUGUGUCUAAUGAAGUCCGGGCCAUCAUCGGUGACCAUGUGGUUAACAGAGGCCUUACCAUGGCAGAGGAUGAUUAGUUAGGUUAGUUCAACACAAUCUGAAAAGAUCAACUGUCAAUUCGCCAAGAAAACCAGUAAGUCUGCAGGAUAUGGACUAUGCUUUACCAUUACAUCUACAGUAAAUUACAUUUUGUAAUGCAUGUCAAUUCACAAAACAUGUUACACUAUUCUUACAGUAUGAUCUAUUGACAGUAUACUGUGUUCUACCCUCAGAAGACCCCAUGGUGGUGGCCGUGUGCUGACCGAUCAGCAGGAGUGGGGAGUGGUGGAAAUGGUGAGGGCCAGGAAUGACAUACGUCUGUCUGAAAUAAAGCAGGCCAUUGAGGAGAACAAUGACACCUUUGCCAAUGUGGCAUCCAUCAGCCUGCCAACAAUCGCCCAACUUUUGAAGAGGCAUCCAGAGGGUGAUGGUGCUUGAUGUUGCUGUGAACCAUCACAAGUAUAUCUUCGUUGAUGAAACAGGCUUCAAUCAGGCCAAAACUCGGCACCAUGGGUAGAACCUCACCGGCCAACGGGCGACCGUCCAAGCGCCUGGACAACGGGGGGAAACAUCUUCAUGUGCACAGUUAUCUCUGAAUAGUAUGGUAUGGUAGGAUAUAGGCCUACCAUCAUGGUGUGGUAGGAGGUAGACCUACCAUCAUGGUGUGGUAGGAGGUAGACCUACCAUCAUGGUGUGGUAGGAGGUAGACCUACCAUCAUGGUGUGGUAGGAGGUAGGCCUACCAUCAUGGUGUGGUAGGAGGUAGACCUACCAUCAUGGUGUGGUAGGACGAAGGCCUACCAUCAUGGUGUGGUAGGACAUAGACCUACCAUCUUGGUGUGGUAGGAGGUAGGCCUACCAUCAUGGUGUGGUAGGAGGUAGACCUACCAUCAUGGUGUGGUAGGAUGUAGGCCUACCAUCAUGGUGUGGUAGGAGGAAUUGCAGGCCGAAUAUGGAAACCAUGUGUUUGAUGUAUUUGAUACCAUUCCACUCAUUCUGUUCCAGCCAUUACCACGAGCCCAUCCUCCCCAAUGAAGGUGCCACCAACCUCCUGCGAUGCAGACAAAUGUCAAGCUUGGAUUCACCAUGCCAUGUUUUAUUUUCAUUCAUUUCAUUUCUCACAUUUGAUUAGACAGUAUGUUGCAAUUAUAUCUGAAAAUUCAUUGUUUUUAUUUGCAUGAAUGAUUGUAGAGGACGUUUUCAUGGAAUACAUGUUGGAUAGAUAUGAUAGAUUUUCUGUAAAUUUUUUGGGGUAAUGUAAGUGUAUUGCCUAAUGUGAAAACUGUAAUCUGCUAUUCACAGGACUGUGUUCCUUUCAGCACCUCUAAGGGGGAUUUGAAACGCGUAUCUUGCAUUGUUUGCUAUUGGAUUAACUGGGAGUUAAAAAUAAUCAAUUGUAAAGACAUCAUUAUGUUGUGUUCUGGUGAAUAAACCAAUGUCACAUUACAUUUCACAAUAAACUUUGAUUUUAAAUGAAUGGUUGUGUGGUGCGAUAUGUUUACAAUCCAAAUGAAUGCACAAUGAAAGGUUUUCAAUGAAAGACUGGCUGUGUCACAAGUGUUACCAGUUUGG
RNAcentral lists this long non-coding RNA (2022 nucleotides) under Salmo salar (Atlantic salmon). Its description in RNAcentral is "lncRNA (ENSSSAG00000089529.1)". Lineage: Eukaryota; Metazoa; Chordata; Actinopteri; Salmoniformes; Salmonidae. The record is from RNAcentral.